GAUGAUGGCUCUGAUUGAACGCUAUCCAAAUGCUUGACACAUGCUAAUCGUACGUCAUCAUGUGUACUUUUUACUCGUCAGAAUAUAAAGUAUUCAUAGGAUGAAGUGGUGUACAGGUGAGUAGAUAAUUUGUCUGCCUUAGAGUAAGGCAUAAAAAUCCCUUAUAAUCUAUUUUUACUUAGAGAAAAUCUAUUUCUAUAUAGAGAUAACCUUGAAGGUGAAUUGAACAAAAGAAGAAAUUCGCUCUAAGAUGUCAUUUAAUUAUAUCGAGUAAGUAGUAGGUAAGGUAAUUGCUCAACUAGCUUAAACUCGUAGUCGUAACUGAGAGGUUGAUCGACCACAUUGGGUCUGAAAAAACCCCAAUACGUAUUGUACAGCAGUGAGGAAUAUUGGUCAAUAGUCUAACGACUGAACCAGCAACUUGGAGGAACACGCAUGGCUACCUUCUAAAGUAAGAUUUUGUCUUCUUGGAACAUGCACUGGAUACUUUAAUGUAUAUAUAGUUCUAGAUAGAUAAAUGAUAAAUGACAACUUUCUAUCUAUGUUGUCUUGACCAAAUCUUGUGCCAGCAGUCGCGGUAAUACAAGGGAGACUAGUGUUAUUCAUCUUUAUUAGGUUUAAAGGGUACCUAGACGGUGUAUCUAGCCUGCGAGGGAACGGAUACGACUAGAGUUUUAUGUGGGAGGUAAAUAUCGUACUAUGUGUGUAGAGAUAAAAUUCUUUGAUAAUACGUAGGACUGGUAAUGGUGAAAGCAAUCCUCUAUGUAAAAACUGACGUUGAGGGACGAAGGCUUGGAUAGCAAACAGGAUUAGAUACCCUAGUAGUCCUUGCAGAAAAUGAUGAAUGCCAUAAGUUAGAUACUAAAAAGGAAGGAUAAGACUUUGUAUUGUGAGACUACCUUCUCUUUUUUUGGCUUAUAAAUGAAAGUGUAAGCAUUCCACCUCAAGAGUAAUGUGGCAACGCAGAAACUGAAAUCAUUAGACCGUUUCUGAAACCAGUAGUGAAGUAUGUUAUUUAAUUCGAUGAUCCGC
Molecule: ribosomal RNA, 1032 nt
Filed under: Venturia inaequalis
Lineage: Eukaryota; Fungi; Ascomycota; Dothideomycetes; Venturiales; Venturiaceae
Description: SSU rRNA
Rfam family: Bacterial small subunit ribosomal RNA
Source: RNAcentral